ACAAAGGGCUUCUGUCAUUAGUGGCACACGCAGAGCAGCUCUGUUUGCUUGCGGAAUCGACAUCAAGAGAUGUCGGAAGCAUAAUUUUUUGGUUCUUGGGCAGCUGGUGAUCGUUGGUCCUAGCGAAAGG
Molecule: small nuclear RNA, 130 nt
Organism: Ochotona princeps (American pika)
Lineage: Eukaryota; Metazoa; Chordata; Mammalia; Lagomorpha; Ochotonidae
Source: Ensembl